UCUAUCAUCUCUAGCCCAGAUUACACAUGCAAGUCUCCGCUCCCCCGUGAGGAUGCCCUGCAGUUCCCCUACCCGGGAACAAGGAGCUGGUAUCAGGCACAGCCUAAUAAAGCUACCGCCCACGACACCUUGCUUAGCCACACCCCCAAGGGAUUUCAGCAGUGAUUAACCUUAAGCCAUAAGUGAAAACUUGACUUAGCCACGGCUAAUAGGGCCGGUAAAUCUCGUGCCAGCCACCGCGGUUAUACGAAAGACCCAAGCUGAUAGAUGCCGGCGUAAAGAGUGGUUAAGUAUCUUGAUAGAACUAAAGCCGAACGCCCUCAAGACCGUUAUACGUUUCCGAAGGUAUGAAGCCCAACUACGAAAGUAACUUUAACUAUAUCCGACUCCACGAAAGCUGUGAAACAAACUGGGAUUAGAUACCCCACUAUGCCCAGCCCUAAACUUUGAUAAUUCAUUACACCCAUUAUCCGCCUGGGAACUACGAGCUUCAGCUUAAAACCCAAAGGACUUGGCGGUGCUUAAGAUCCAC
This 532-nucleotide ribosomal RNA is filed under the name Mugil cephalus (flathead mullet). RNAcentral describes it as "partial small subunit ribosomal RNA". It matches the Rfam family "Bacterial small subunit ribosomal RNA", at positions 24 to 930 of the family's 1533-position model. Lineage: Eukaryota; Metazoa; Chordata; Actinopteri; Mugiliformes; Mugilidae. The record is from RNAcentral.